GCCAGGGCGGUGGCACGUGCCUGUAGUCCCAGCUACUCUGGAUGCUGAGGUGGGAAGAUGGCUUGAGCCCAGGAAUUCUGGGCUGUAGUGCGCUGUGUCGAUUGGGCGUCUGCACUAAGUUUGGCAACAAUAUGGUGACCUCCUGGGAGCRGGRGACCACCAGGUKGCCUAAGGAGGGGUGAACCRGCCCAGGUCAGAAACGGAGCAGGUCAAAACUCCCGUGCUGAUCAGUAGUGGGAUCGCGCCUGUGAACAGCCACUGCACUCCAGCCUGGGCAACAUAGCAAGACCCUGUCUCUU
Molecule: signal recognition particle RNA, 299 nt
Filed under: Plasmodium vivax Sal-1
Lineage: Eukaryota; Apicomplexa; Aconoidasida; Haemosporida; Plasmodiidae
Description: Metazoan signal recognition particle RNA
Rfam family: Metazoan signal recognition particle RNA
About the family: The signal recognition particle (SRP) is a universally conserved ribonucleoprotein. It is involved in the co-translational targeting of proteins to membranes.
Source: Rfam by way of RNAcentral